This 776-nucleotide ribosomal RNA is filed under the name uncultured Neocallimastigales. RNAcentral describes it as "partial large subunit ribosomal RNA". It matches the Rfam family "Eukaryotic large subunit ribosomal RNA", at positions 26 to 635 of the family's 3401-position model. The record is from RNAcentral. Lineage: Eukaryota; Fungi; Neocallimastigomycota; Neocallimastigomycetes; Neocallimastigales.
CGUCUAUAUACGUAUAGCAUAUCAAUAAGCGGAGGAAAAGAAACUAACUAGGAUUCCCUCAGUAACGGCGAGUGAAGCGGGUAGAGCUCAAAUUUGAAAUCUUCAAGGUUCUACCUUGACGAAUUGUAGUUUAAAGAAGUGUUUUCUGUUGGAGUUUUGGUAAAAGUUCUUUGGAAUAGGACAUCAUAGAGGGUGAGAAUCCCGUAUUUGACCAUUAUUUCCAACUUUGUGAUACACUUUCAAAGAGUCGGAUUGUUUGGGAAUGCAGUCAAAAAUGGGUGGUAAAUUUCAUCUAAAGCUAAAUACUGGCGAGAGACCGAUAGCGAACAAGUACCGUGAGGGAAAGAUGAAAAGAACUUUGACAAGAGAGUUAAACAGUACGUGAAAUUGUCAAAAGGGAAGCGUUUGACACCAGUGUUGUUUUCUCGAAAAUCAAUUAAAAAUGGCUGGGAUUUUGUGUUGUAUUGACUUUAUCAGCUUUCUGCACUUUUUUUCCUAUCUUUUUUAAUGCACUUUUCGUUUAAUAAGUCAACAUCAAUUUCUUUUGUUGUAAAAGGGUCAUUGGAAGGUGGCUUCUCUUUCGGAGAAAGUGUUUAUAGCCUUUGACUUCUGCAAUCGGAGAGAUUGAGGUCUGCAGCGUAGAUCCUUCGGGGUUAGAUACAUUUGUGCUAAGUUAUAGCCUUUCAUAGACAACUUGUUGACUAUGAUCAGUCAUGUAGCUUACUCGCUUAUGUCAUUUUACCUACGCUUAGGAUGUUGAUCUGUAGUGCGUGCGC